UCUAUAUAUGGAACAUCAUUUCACGCCAUUCCAUAUCCUUUUGACACUUUUUAAAGGCUUGAUUGACCCUUUGGCUGUGGUUGGAGCGCGUAAUUCAAGAAUGGACGGAAGGUCUGCCGCCGCUUGUUUUUUGGUGAUGCUUGUGUUGUUCGGAAGCACUACAUCUGCAGAGAAAUGUUUGACUUCUUCGUUUUAUCGGCUGUUGUUUUGUACCAAGGGUAUUUGCAAGUCUGUAUGCGUGGGUCGUUUCGGUUACCCUGGGCAGGAGAUCCGCGAACAUUGGUGCAGUAAUUUUUUCUUUGCCAAGUGCACCUGCAAGGUUUGCGUUGAUGGAUAGAGCUUAAUGGAUAUGCUAAGUGCACUUCAUGUUAUCAAUAAAUAAUCCAUCACAUCGUGUCCUUGAA
Long non-coding RNA from Aegilops tauschii subsp. strangulata, 404 nucleotides. RefSeq lists it as uncharacterized. The record is from RefSeq and is a predicted model, not a curated record. Lineage: Eukaryota; Viridiplantae; Streptophyta; Magnoliopsida; Poales; Poaceae.